Non-coding RNA from Rattus norvegicus (Norway rat), 63 nucleotides. NCBI's taxonomy places the organism in Eukaryota, Metazoa, Chordata, Mammalia, Rodentia, Muridae. The record is from Rfam.
GGGGAUUUAGCUCAGUGGUAGAGCGCUUGCCUAGCAAAUGCAAGGCCCUGGGUUCAGUCCUCA